Hipposideros armiger (great roundleaf bat) is the source of this 2380-nucleotide long non-coding RNA. RefSeq lists it as uncharacterized. The record is from RefSeq and is a predicted model, not a curated record. The transcript is spliced from 3 exons. NCBI's taxonomy places the organism in Eukaryota, Metazoa, Chordata, Mammalia, Chiroptera, Hipposideridae.
AGUGGGGGCGCUGCGGAGAGCCGAGAGCUACCGGCGGACUCGACGUGCCCCGCCGCGGGGUGGUGCUCUGAUUGCGGCAACCGUUGAAGGGCUGCCCCGGAAGAGGCGGCGAGGCGCCACUGAGGUCCCUUAUACAUCUUCUCAAGUAUAUUCUACACUAAGAGGAAUGACAGCACCCUUUUCCUGAGCUAUGGCAGUCAGACCUGGUAGCAGCACCUUCUCUACAGAACCCUCAAACCUGGCAAGGAUGGUUCAGAUUUUGGCAGAUUAUGGAAGCCCCACCCAGCACUGAUGUUACCAGCAAAGGCAGGAAUCAUUAAUGGAUCAUACAACUAAUGCAUGAAGAGUUGAUGACAAGAAGGAUAUUUUUACAGCCUCAGAACACCAUCUCACACGAUACUUACUAAUCACUCAUGGAAAAAAAUAGCAACUUUACGGUGGAUACACUACCUGAUCAAGUUGUCAAAGUUAACUUUAUUAGUAUGGGGCAAAUAGACAUCAUGCAUCCUAGUAGGAUGCACUGAGAAGAGCAUAACAUCGCUUCUGUGGUAUUCCUGUAAAAAUAUACAACCAGAAUUUAGGCAUGAAGAAACAUUACUCAAACCAAAUUGAGGGAAGUUUCACAAAAUAAAUGGCCUGUACUCUUCAAAAUGUCAAGGUCAAGAAAAACAAAGAAUGAAUUUGUUCCAGAUCAAAGAAGACUAAAGAGAUUGGACAAUUAAAUACAAUGUAUGACCCUGGGAUAGAUCAUGGGCCAAGACAGAAACAAUUAUAUUAUUUUUAUUUUAUUAUUUGAUUCUAUUUUUGUCAUAAAGGACAUUAGUAGAACAAUUGGCAAAAUGUGAAGGUUUCUAGAUUGUAUUGUAACAUCCUUAUUUUGAUUAUGUGGUGUGUGUUUUUUUAUUUUUAAGGAAAUACUUUAAAAUAUUUAGGAGUCAAGGGGAAUGAUAUUUGCAGGUUAUCAAGUUCUGAAAAAAUCUGUAGAGGAAGGAGAGACCGAUAAAGUAAAUGUGGUAAAAUGUUAAGUUUGGGGAAUCUGAGUAAAGUGUGUAUGGAAAUUCUUUGUACUUUUUAAAAAAUGAACUUUUUAUUUUGGAAUAAUUUAAGAUUUACAAAAAAGUUGAAAAGAUAGUACACCCCUCACCCAAUUUCAGUUUCCUCUAAUGUCAUUUUAAAUUACUGUGAUACAUUUUUCAGAACUAAGAUACCAACAUUGGUAUAUUACUAUUAACUAAAGCCCAGACUUUAUUCAGAUUUCACCCAUUUUCCAUGAAUGUUCCUCCAAACUCCAGACUUUAAUUACAAUUCACAAUUUUUUCUUUAAUGUCCUUUUUCUGCUCCAAGAUCCAAUCCAGGGUGUACCCCAUUGCAUUUAUUCAUCAUCUCUCUCCAGUCUCCCCUGAUCUCUGUCAGUUUCUCAGUCACUCCUUAUUUUUCGUGACUUUGAUAGUUUGGGGGAGUACUGGUGAAAUAUUUAUAGGAUGUCCUCCCAGUUUUGGUUUGUUUUAUGUAUUUCUCAUGAUUAGAUUGGGUUAAUGGGUUUUUAGAAAUAAUACUAAAGAGGUAAAGUACCCUUCUCAUCCCAUUAUAUCUGGGAGUAGAUGCUCUCUACAGGGUAUCUAUCUGGUGAAGUAAACCAUGAUAUCUUGGUGAAGGUAGUAUCUGCCAGGUUUCUCCUCUCUAAAGUUCCAGUUUUUCCCACUCUAUUUGGAAGAGAGUCACUAAGUUCAGCCCACUCAAAAGCAGGGUCAGGGGCUGGAGGACAGAUUAAAGGUUAAACUUUACCUCCUACGUGGGAUAGUUUCUAUAUAUAUUAUUUGGAUUCCUCUGUAAGGAAGAUUUGUCUCUUCUCCCCUGUUUGUUUAUCAUUUAUUUACGUUUGUAUGGACUUGUGUAUAUUUAUUUUAUUCUUUGGGUUAUAAUCUGAUACAUUUUUAAUUUUGUCUCAUAGUUCCAGCUUUGACCAUUUGGAGUUCUGGUAGACUCCUGUGGCCUUUUGAAAUGUCUCCAUCCUUUUGGUUUGUGAGCAGUUUCUUGCUUUCUGGUACUGCAAAAUGUUCUGCCUUGUCUUGUGUUUUCCCUGCUCUAGCCCUACAAUUGAUUACUUCUCCAGAGCUCUUGUUCCUUUUAUUAGAGAUUGAUAUUUAGAAACCAGGAUCUUGGCACUGAAUUGUUUGUACUAUUUCAUAACUUUUCUGUAAGUCUGAAAUCAUUUCAAUAUAAAAAGUAAGAAAAAAAGUUAAAAGUUGGAAGAUGCAUAUCCUAUUUGUUAUUCUUCAGUGUUCUAUCUUAGUUAAGCUGUUAUGUCAGUUACCAAAUGUUACAUUUUUAAAUUUGUAGAUGCUUAUUUUUUAUAAAUAAAAAUUAUAUUUUACUUGGU